Camellia sinensis is the source of this 3728-nucleotide non-coding RNA. The record is from RefSeq and is a predicted model, not a curated record. NCBI's taxonomy places the organism in Eukaryota, Viridiplantae, Streptophyta, Magnoliopsida, Ericales, Theaceae.
ACCUUAUCCCCGCCAUAACCUUGUUCUGGUUCAUCAGUCAUCAUCACAUAUCUUCAUCUUCCUCUGUGUAAGAAGCUCUCUCUCUCCAACACAUACACGCAAACCCUCUUGCUUGGGUUCAUCUCUCAAGCAAAAUACCAUAGAGAGAGAGAGAGAGAGAGUGAAAGAGCAACGACUCAAUUCAAUUCUUCCUAGUAUUGUUUUUUUCAUAUGAAUCUCUCUCCAUUUUCAAUCACAUACACCAGAUUCAAGACUGCUUUUGCUGCUUACAAUUCACUACUCGCCAUUGCAUCCCUUCUCUCCAACCAUUAAUUCAAAUUGCCAAUCAAUUCAUUAUUGUUAGCAAUGGCGGCAGUGGCAACUCCAUUUGAGUCGCCGGCGGUGGUGGGGGUGAAGUCCAAGGAUGUAAAUUACGAUACUUUCAGGAACCCUAGGCCGGUGAGUCUCUCCUUAGAUUCCACCACCAGAAGAAGAAGAUGCGAACCCCUUUUUCCAACCACAGCUUUCAGAUUCUGCGGCCGCGGCAGACGGCGGCUUCUGCGGCGGCCCUUUGCUUUCAGUCCGACGGCAUCGUUGGGAGGGCUCUUGGGUGGGAUAUUUAAGGGCGCUGACACAGGGGAGUCCACUAGGCAGCAGUAUUCCUCAACUGUUUCUCUCGUCAAUGGGUUUGAAGCUGAGAUGUCAACCCUUUCUGAUUCCCAAUUGAGGGAGAAGACGGAAGUCUUGAAGGAACGUGCUCGCCGGGGUGAUUCUUUGGACUCUCUUUUACCUGAAACAUUUGCUGUUGUGAGAGAGGCUUCGAAAAGAGUUCUAGGACUUCGACCUUUUGAUGUUCAACUGAUAGGUGGGAUGGUUCUUCACAAGGGAGAAAUAGCUGAAAUGAGGACUGGAGAAGGAAAGACCCUGGUUGCUAUUUUGCCAGCUUAUCUGAAUGCAUUAACUGGGAAAGGAGUUCAUGUUGUCACUGUCAAUGAUUAUCUAGCACGGCGAGAUUGUGAAUGGGUUGGUCAAGUACCCCGGUUUCUUGGAAUGAAGGUUGGCCUAAUCCAACAGAAUAUGACAAGUGAACAAAGGAGGGAAAAUUACUUGUGCGACAUCACAUAUGUCACCAACAGUGAACUCGGAUUUGAUUAUUUGAGGGAUAAUCUUGCCACGAGUGUUGAUGAACUUGUGCUGAGGGGUUUCAAUUACUGUGUAAUUGACGAGGUUGAUUCCAUCCUUAUUGAUGAAGCAAGAACUCCACUUAUCAUAUCAGGACCUGCUGAAAAACCUAGUGAUCGGUACUACAAAGCUGCUAAGAUAGCUGCUGCCUUUCAGCGAGAUAUACAUUACACAGUUGAUGAGAGGCAGAAGAGCAUUUUACUCACAGAACAGGGUUAUGUGGAUGCUGAGGAAAUUCUGGAUGUCAAAGAUUUAUAUGAUCCCCGGGAACAAUGGGCAUCAUAUGUUUUGAAUGCGAUAAAAGCAAAAGAAAUUUUUCUUAGAGAUGUGAAUUAUAUUAUCCGUGGCAAGGAAGUCCUUAUUGUAGAUGAGUUUACAGGUCGAGUUAUGCAGGGGAGACGUUGGAGUGAUGGACUCCACCAGGCAGUUGAAGCAAAAGAAGGCUUGCCCAUUCAAAACGAAACUGUGACCCUGGCAUCGAUUAGCUAUCAAAACUUCUUUCUUCAGUUCCCAAAACUUUGUGGCAUGACUGGCACUGCGGCAACUGAGAGUGCAGAAUUUGAGAGUAUUUACAAACUGAAAGUUACAAUUGUGCCUACAAACAAACCCAUGAUAAGAAAGGAUGAAUCUGAUGUGGUGUUCAAGGCAACCACAGGAAAAUGGCGAGCAGCUGUGGUAGAGAUUUCUAGAAUGCACAAAACAGGUCGCCCAGUGCUUGUUGGCACGACCAGCGUUGAGCAGAGUGAUGCAUUGUCGGAACAGUUGCGUGAAGCUGGAAUCCCUCAUGAGGUUCUCAAUGCGAAACCAGAGAAUGUGGAGAGAGAAGCUGAAAUUGUAGCACAGAGUGGUCGUCUUGGGGCGGUAACAAUUGCUACCAAUAUGGCUGGUCGUGGAACUGAUAUAAUCCUUGGUGGUAAUGCAGAAUUCAUGGCAAGGUUGAAGUUACGUGAGAUGCUGAUGCCAAGAGUUGUUAAACCUGCCGAAGGAGUUUUUGUAUCUGUCAAGAAACCACCACCAAAGAAGACAUGGAAGGUAAAUGAAAACUUAUUUCCAUGCACACUUUCCAAAGACAAUACUAAGUUGGCUGAGGAAGCUGUACAGCUAGCUGUCAAAGCAUGGGGUCAGAAAUCGCUAAGUGAGCUUGAAGCGGAGGAGCGGCUAUCUUAUUGUAGUGAAAAGGGGCCUGCUCAAGAUGAAGUAAUAGCAAAGCUGCGCAAUGCUUUUCUAGAAAUUGUUACAGAAUAUAAGGUCUACACUGAGGUGGAAAGGAAGAAGGUGGUGUCAGCCGGUGGACUUCAUGUGGUGGGGACAGAACGCCAUGAGUCACGUCGAAUUGAUAAUCAGCUGCGUGGUCGAAGUGGCAGGCAAGGGGAUCCUGGAAGUUCUCGCUUUUUCCUUAGUCUUGAAGAUAAUAUCUUUCGGAUUUUUGGGGGGGAUAGAAUUCAGGGUUUGAUGAGAGCUUUUAGAGUUGAAGACCUACCAAUUGAAUCCAAUUUGCUGACAAAAGCGCUUGAUGAAGCUCAGCGGAAGGUGGAGAAUUACUUCUUUGAUAUUAGGAAGCAACUUUUUGAGUAUGACGAGGUUUUGAACAGCCAAAGAGACCGUGUAUAUACAGAGAGAAGACGAGCCCUUGAAUCUGACAAUCUCCAGUCUCUUCUUAUUGAAUAUGCUGAAUUGACAAUAGAUGACAUCUUGGAGGCAAAUAUUGGUCCUGAUGCUUCCAGGGAAAGCUGGGAUCUUGAAAAGCUCAUUGCGAAACUCCAACAGUAUUGCUAUUUGUUGAAUGAUUUGACUCCAGAUUUGCUGGUGAGCAAAUGUUCAAAUUAUGAAGAGCUGCUGGAUUACCUUCACCUUCGUGGUCGUGAUGCAUAUUUACAGAAAAGGGAUAUUGUGGAGAAACAAGCACCAGGCUUGAUGAAAGAAGCAGAGAGGUUCCUAAUUCUGAGUAACAUUGAUCGCUUAUGGAAAGAACACUUGCAAGCACUCAAGUUUGUUCAGCAAGCUGUAGGUUUACGUGGAUAUGCACAGCGGGAUCCACUCAUUGAAUAUAAGCUUGAAGGCUACAACCUUUUCAUAGAGAUGAUGGCACAGAUUAGAAGAAAUGUGAUAUAUUCAAUAUAUCAGUUUCAACCAGUGUUAGUGAAGGAUCAGGAACGACGACAACAGAAAGAGAAAUCAGGUGAGUCGGUUGCAAAUGGAAGAGGUAGUGGUAAUAAUAACCCUGGUCCUGUUGGCAUCGUUGACUCCUCUUCAGCAGUUGUCAGGCCCCAGUCUAGUGCAUGAAACUCAAAAGGAAUGGGAGCAAUGUAAAGACUAAUCUGAUUGUUUUCGAUGCCAUAAUAGAGCCUCAUGUGUUGUAUGGUACAUAUUUGUCAAAGAGUAACUAGUGUUGAAUGUAAAGAAACUAAAAGAUCAGUAAAUGAAGGUUAAACUGCUUUAUUUUGACAUUAGCUUCUUCUUGUACUCAUUUCAAGUCUUACAGGCAAUGGGACUAUAUAGACUUCAGCACAAUUGUUCAGUAACUCAGAUUAGAUUGAUGGUUGUAUUGUACACUGAAUGGCAGAACA